This 497-nucleotide ribosomal RNA is filed under the name uncultured bacterium. RNAcentral's name for it is "partial 16S ribosomal RNA". It matches the Rfam family "Bacterial small subunit ribosomal RNA", at positions 28 to 507 of the family's 1533-position model. The record is from RNAcentral.
GACGAACGCUGGCGGCGUGCCUAAUACAUGCAAGUUGAGCGAUGAAGAUUGGUGCUUGCACCAAUUUGAAGAGCAGCGAACGGGUGAGUAACGCGUGGGGAAUCUGCCUUUGAGCGGGGGACAACAUUUGGAAACGAAUGCUAAUACCGCAUAACAACUUUAAACAUAAGUUUUAAGUUUGAAAGAUGCAAUUGCAUCACUCAUAGAUGAUCCCGCGUUGUAUUAGCUAGUUGGUGAGGUAAAGGCUCACCAAGGCGAUGAUACAUAGCCGACCUGAGAGGGUGAUCGGCCACAUUGGGACUGAGACACGGCCCAAACUCCUACGGGAGGCAGCAGUAGGGAAUCUUCGGCAAUGGACGAAAGUCUGACCGAGCAACGCCGCGUGAGUGAAGAAGGUUUUCGGAUCGUAAAACUCUGUUGGUAGAGAAGAACGUUGGUGAGAGUGGAAAGCUCAUCAAGUGACGGUAACUACCCAGAAAGGGACGGCUAACUACGUG